Zingiber officinale is the source of this 504-nucleotide long non-coding RNA. RefSeq lists it as uncharacterized. Lineage: Eukaryota; Viridiplantae; Streptophyta; Magnoliopsida; Zingiberales; Zingiberaceae. The transcript has 3 exons. The record is from RefSeq and is a predicted model, not a curated record.
CAAUACAUUUUUCCUCCCAUACCCUACUUUCCCUUUCGCCGCUCCUCCCCAUUCACCGCGCGGUUGCUCCUCCUCCGCCCACCGUUGCUCACGCGUCGCCGCUCCUCCUUUGCCUCCUGUUGCUCACACGCCGCCGCUCCUCCCCUUUCGCCUUGCGCAGUCCCGACGUUGCCGCCAUGUGUUCCCACCGCCGCCGUAGCCGUUUUCUGGUGCCCCCAGUGAUUUUGCAACCGUCUUCCUCUCGGUCACGAACAGAGCUCGCUGGCUGCCGCAUCGUUCCCUUCGACGAUCAUGUCAAGCUCUGAUGAUGAAUCUGACGAGAUACAUUGAUCGAAUGUUGUCGGACUUCAUCUCUUACCAGGAGGAUGUACGUACAAGAAAUACUUGAUGGGCAUCCCCAAGUUUGCUUUGACAAUUUUUGUAUGUCAAAACAUGUGUGUGAAUUUUUGUAGAACAUUAAAAGAGAUGAAUCUAUUGCAAGAUGGAACGAAAGUUACAGUUGAA